GGUUGGGUGGCUGGGACGGCGGGAAGGUCCCACGCCCGUCUCAGGAAGCCAGAAACGCAAGAUGCCGGGCGCUCGGCCCGAACCCGUGCCGCGGCCCAAGGGGCAAGGCGGAUACCGAGGCAAGGCCUAAAGGGCCGGACUCUGACCGCACCCUCCGGACACUGCAGGGCUCCGCCGGCCAGAGGCGGCCUUGGCGCCAACCACACCUAGCAGCGGGGUCCCCGGGCCCACCGAUGCGCCCUCCUAGCCCCGCGCUCCUUCGAGGGGUUCCAAGGUGACUCAGAGACGCAGCUGACACAAUUCUGAGGCCCCCAGGUAAGCCUGGCGAUACCGGAUGGAGAAGUUACCUGGUCUUGAAAGGCCCAGUCCAGCCAGCGAGACCCGCGUGCGCUCCGCGGGGAGGCAAGCCUAACCAGGGGCUCACCUGGAAGCGUCCCCGCCCCCUGGUCCUUAUCUCUGAAUCGAAACCGAACCUGGACCCAUCUAGAUAAUUGGACUGAGCAAUUAAGGACGCUUCGCUCCUAACUGUUAGCAUUUUUUCCUAAGGCUCUCGGAGGCGGAAUCAGCUGGAAAGGAACAUUGCUAAGUAGGAAUUUCAGGCACCUGUGAACUGAGCCCACUCAAUAAUCGGCCCUUUCCCUUAACCAAACUCAGCAAAGGAAGAAAGACCAAGUUGCUGCGGAUGCACAGAGCCACGUGGGUGCGGGUCCUCUAGAAACAGGAAUUCAGAGUCAGUAGAUAUGGAAAUGUUAUGGUUUGCAGUCUUCGGACCAUGCUGCUUUCAUGCUGUUCACAUGAUUCUCCUCGGACUGCGAGGUAAAGUCCAAGAAACAAGUCGAAUGUUUGUAUUUUCAUAGAAAAAACAUCUGUAAGGGUGCACACCGACUGUUAACCACGGUUACGCGGGGAGGGGAAACAAGGGAGUUACAUUUUUUUACUCCCUUGACUUUGGAUUUUGUAUUUUUCCAGUUGUAUUUACUUUCAUAAUUUAGAAAGCUAAUAAAACAUGUUUAAAGAAACAGAAGCUAGAAAUUCUCUAAGAACUCUAGGAAGUAGAGGCCGGGCGCGGUGGCUCACGCCUGUAAUCCCAGCACUUUGGGAGGCCGAGGCGGGUGGAUCACAAGGUCAGGAGUUCGAGACCUGUCUGGCCAACAUGGUGAAACCCUGUUUCUACUAAAAAUACAAAAAUUAAUGGUGACAUGUACCUGUAAUCCCAGCCACUUGGGAGGCUGAGGCAGGACAAUCGCCGAACUCAGGGAGGCGGAGGUUGCAGUAAGCCGAAAUCGUGCCACUGUACUCCAGCCUGGGUGACAGAGUGAGACUCUGUCUCAAAAAAAAAAAAAGAACUCUAGGGAGUAUAAAUUAAUAAAUGAAGUCUAUGUCUUCAUUCUGUAUCAAAAUAA
This 1403-nucleotide long non-coding RNA is filed under the name Homo sapiens (human). Its description in RNAcentral is "HSALNT0032448". The record is from RNAcentral. Lineage: Eukaryota; Metazoa; Chordata; Mammalia; Primates; Hominidae.